Molecule: long non-coding RNA, 777 nt
Organism: Canis lupus familiaris (dog)
Lineage: Eukaryota; Metazoa; Chordata; Mammalia; Carnivora; Canidae
Exons: 4
Source: RefSeq, a predicted model, not a curated record
UUUAUGGAGAGAGAAACUAAAGCACAGAGAAUCGAAAUAAUAUGCCCAAGGUCCUAUAAGACUUAAGACUUAAGUAGCAGAGCAAGGGUUUGAACCCAGGCUAUCUGACUGUAGAGGCCAUAAUUUUGUAUAGGGAUGAGUGUGAGUACCAUCAUGAAGUGAUGUUGAAUUCAUGAGCUGACUUAAAUGAGAGGAGAUAUUUGAGGGAGACAUGAAUGAAUAAGAAGAAAGACAGACUCACUCCAGGGAGAAGCAACCAGCAAGGGACCUUGUGACCAUGGGGAAGAUAAGUCCAGCCUGCUGAGUUUUGACAGACAUGUGACCCAGCCAACUCCAGACAUGAGAGUGAAACCAUCCUAGAUUAGCCAGCCGCCAUGCAACCUGUAACUGACCAUGAUACAUGCUCAAGCGCCAGAGAGAUCAGUUUCAACUAGCACAAACAGAACAACUGCCCAGACUAAGAAAGAAUGGAAAUCUGUCCUCUCACCUACCUGGAACUUUGGAGGAAUAAUCCCACUUUGAACACACAGAAAGUGAGAGCAAAAUAAACUUUUAGUUACAUGAAACAACAAUAUCUAUGGUAAAAGAAAUAGAAUGAAGGUGAACAAGAGGUUUUCCCAGAUCAAGAUCUACAAAUGGACCUGCAAUGCAAACUUCUUUCAGUAGAUCCUGGAGUCACAUACCACUGGCACUGGCCCUUCUCAGCCACUUCACCCCUUCUUGCUUUGAUGGGAUUCCCUGUGGGGAAAAGAAGGUGCAGCCAGCAGGGUUACAUUC